This 397-nucleotide ribosomal RNA is filed under the name uncultured bacterium. RNAcentral's name for it is "partial 16S ribosomal RNA". It matches the Rfam family "Bacterial small subunit ribosomal RNA", at positions 338 to 732 of the family's 1533-position model. The record is from RNAcentral.
CCUACGGGUGGCAGCAGUGAGGAAUAUUGGUCAAUGGCCGUAAGGCUGAACCAGCCAAGCAGCGUGAGGGACGACUGCGCCAAGGGUUGUAAACUUCUUUUAUGCGGGGACAAAGUCGGCCACGUGAGGCUGUCUGCAGGUACUGCAUGAAUAAGCAUCGGCUAAUUCCGUGCCAGCAGCCGCGGUAAUACGGAGGGUCCGAGCGUUAUCCGGAUUUAUUGGGUGUAAAGGGUGCGUAGACGGCCAUGUAAGCCAGGGGUGAAAGCCCGGGGCCCAACCCCGGGGGAGCGCUUGAAACUGGAUGUCUGGAGAGCGGGAGGGGCAGGCGGAAUGCGCGGUGUAGCGGUGAAAUGCGUAGAUAUCAGGCAGAACUCCGACGGCGAAGGCAGCAUACUGG